Molecule: ribosomal RNA, 422 nt
Filed under: Staphylococcus aureus
Lineage: Bacteria; Bacillati; Bacillota; Bacilli; Caryophanales; Staphylococcaceae
Description: partial 23S ribosomal RNA
Rfam family: Bacterial large subunit ribosomal RNA
Source: RNAcentral
CUUGUACAGGAUAGGUAGGAGCCUUUGAAACGUGAGCGCUAGCUUACGUGGAGGCGCUGGUGGGAUACUACCCUAGCUGUGUUGGCUUUCUAACCCGCACCACUUAUCGUGGUGGGAGACAGUGUCAAGCGGGCAGUUUGACUGGGGCGGUCGCCUCCUAAAAGGUAACGGAGGCGCUCAAAGGUUCCCUCAGAAUGGUUGGAAAUCAUUCAUAGAGUGUAAAGGCAUAAGGGAGCUUGACUGCGAGACCUACAAGUCGAGCAGGGUCGAAAGACGGACUUAGUGAUCCGGUGGUUCCGCAUGGAAGGGCCAUCGCUCAACGGAUAAAAGCUACCCCGGGGAUAACAGGCUUAUCUCCCCCAAGAGUUCACAUCGACGGGGAGGUUUGGCACCUCGAUGUCGGCUCAUCGCAUCCUGGGGCU